This 255-nucleotide ribosomal RNA is filed under the name uncultured bacterium. RNAcentral's name for it is "partial 16S ribosomal RNA". It matches the Rfam family "Bacterial small subunit ribosomal RNA", at positions 524 to 776 of the family's 1533-position model. The record is from RNAcentral.
UACGUAGGGUGCAAGCGUUGUCCGGAAUUAUUGGGCGUAAAGAGCUCGUAGGCGGUUUGUUGCGUCGGCUGUGAAAUCCCGAGGCUCAACCUCGGGUCUGCAGUCGAUACGAGCAAACUAGAGUGUUGCAGGGGAGACUGGAAUUCCUGGUGUAGCGGUGAAAUGCGCAGAUAUCAGGAGGAACACCGGUGGCGAAGGCGGGGUCUCUGGGCAACAACUGACGCUGAGGAGCGAAAGCGUGGGGGAGCGAACAGG